UCUCCGUUGGUGAACCAGCGGAGGGAUCAUUAUCGAGUUAUUCAACACCCAAACCCUAUGUGAACUUACCACUUGUUGCUUCGGCGCGCGCUUCGGCGCCGCCGAGGACACUUAAACUCUUUGUUUUUAUAAGCAUUUCUGAGUGGCCGAAAGGCAAAAUACAAAUGAAUCAAAACUUUCAACAACGGAUCUCUUGGUUCUG
RNAcentral lists this unclassified non-coding RNA (202 nucleotides) under plant metagenome. RNAcentral's name for it is "partial contains small subunit ribosomal RNA, internal transcribed spacer 1, and 5.8S ribosomal RNA". The record is from RNAcentral.